RNAcentral lists this ribosomal RNA (279 nucleotides) under uncultured Porphyromonadaceae bacterium. Its description in RNAcentral is "partial 16S ribosomal RNA". It matches the Rfam family "Bacterial small subunit ribosomal RNA", at positions 355 to 631 of the family's 1533-position model. Lineage: Bacteria; Pseudomonadati; Bacteroidota; Bacteroidia; Bacteroidales; Porphyromonadaceae. The record is from RNAcentral.
UGAGGAAUAUUGGUCAAUGGACGCAAGUCUGAACCAGCCAAGUCGCGUGCAGGAAUAAGGCCCUAUGGGUCGCAGACUGCUUUUGCAUGAGAAUAAAAAGUGGGACGAGUCCCACUCUGUAGGUAUCAUGCGAAUAAGGAUCGGCUAACUCCGUGCCAGCAGCCGCGGUAAUACGGAGGAUCCGAGCGUUAUCCGGAUUCAUUGGGUUUAAAGGGUGCGCAGGCGGGUCUGUAAGCCCGUGGUGAAAGCCUGGUGCUCAACGCCAGAGGUGCCGCGGGG